This 491-nucleotide ribosomal RNA is filed under the name uncultured bacterium. RNAcentral's name for it is "bacterial SSU rRNA". It matches the Rfam family "Bacterial small subunit ribosomal RNA", at positions 28 to 507 of the family's 1533-position model. The record is from RNAcentral.
GAUGAACGCUAGCUACAGGCUUAACACAUGCAAGUCGAGGGGAAACGACAUUGGAAGCUUGCUUCCGGUGGGCGUCGACCGGCGCACGGGUGAGUAACGCGUAUCCAACCUGCCCACCACUUGGGAAUAACCUUGCGAAAGUAAGACUAAUGCCCAAUGACGUUGAAAGAAGACAUCUGAUUUCAACUAAAGAUUUAUCGGUGAUGGAUGGGGAUGCGUCCGAUUAGCUUGUUGCGGGGUAACGGCCCACCAAGGCAACGAUCGGUAGGGGUUCUGAGAGGAAGGUCCCCCACAUUGGAACUGAAACACGGUCCAAACUCCUACGGGAGGCAGCAGUGAGGAAUAUUGGUCAAUGGGCGAGAGCCUGAACCAGCCAAGUAGCGUGCAGGAUGACGGCCCUAUGGGUUGUAAACUGCUUUUAUAAGGGAAUAAAGUGGGGCUCGUGAGCUCUUUUGCAUGUACCUUAUGAAUAAGGACCGGCUAAUUCCGUG